This 379-nucleotide ribosomal RNA is filed under the name uncultured bacterium. RNAcentral describes it as "bacterial SSU rRNA". It matches the Rfam family "Bacterial small subunit ribosomal RNA", at positions 521 to 896 of the family's 1533-position model. The record is from RNAcentral.
UAAUACGUAGGGGGCGAGCGUUGUCCGGAUUUAUUGGGCGUAAAGCGCGCGUAGGCGGCUGCCCACGUCGGAUGUGAAAGCUCAGGGCUUAACCCUGAGAGGCCAUUCGAUACGGGGCAGCUAGAGGCAGCUAGGGGAGAGUGGAAUUCCUGGUGUAGCGGUGAAAUGCGCAGAUAUCAGGAGGAACACCGGUGGCGAAGGCGGCUCUCUGGGGCUGUCCUGACGCUGAGGCGCGAAAGCUGGGGGAGCGAACAGGAUUAGAUACCCUGGUAGUCCCAGCCGUAAACGUUGAGUGCUAGGUGUGGGGAGGCCUUCAACCCUUUCUGUGCCGCAGCUAACGCAUUAAGCACUCCGCCUGGGGAGUACGGCCGCAAGGCUA